This 370-nucleotide long non-coding RNA is filed under the name Elaeis guineensis (African oil palm). Its description in RNAcentral is "long non-coding RNA (EGUI_LNC076123)". Lineage: Eukaryota; Viridiplantae; Streptophyta; Magnoliopsida; Arecales; Arecaceae. The record is from RNAcentral.
GCUAUGUAUGUUGGCUUCAGUAGGUUUAGGUUCGCUGUUUGGAGUAGGAUGCACCUAGAUGAAAUCUAUCGAUCUUGGUAAAAAAGGAGAAGUCCUAUGCAAUCUGCGAGACUGAGUUCAGAAAGUCUUUGGCCAAAGUAAGUGUGAAUACUGGAAAAGAGUUUUUACGGGAUUCACAAAUGAAUCCGAGUCGAAUCAAUCUAACAUAUGACUGACGAUGGGGUCUGACGACUUCUCCAUGACCUCUGUCAAGUUGGAGCUCACGAUAGAAGGACUGAAUCAUACGAUAACUAUACCUAGGGGUUUGUACUUUCGUUCUACUAGAUUGCCACUACAUACUGCUAGAUGUUACUAAUGGAUUGUGAGACUC